RNAcentral lists this ribosomal RNA (626 nucleotides) under uncultured bacterium. RNAcentral describes it as "bacterial SSU rRNA". It matches the Rfam family "Bacterial small subunit ribosomal RNA", at positions 114 to 754 of the family's 1533-position model. The record is from RNAcentral.
CACGUGGGCAAUCUGCCCUUCACUCUGGGACAAGCCCUGGAAACGGGGUCUAAUACCGGAUAUCACUUCCACUCGCAUGGGUGGGGGUUGAAAGCUCCGGCGGUGAAGGAUGAGCCCGCGGCCUAUCAGCUUGUUGGUGAGGUAAUGGCUCACCAAGGCGACGACGGGUAGCCGGCCUGAGAGGGCGACCGGCCACACUGGGACUGAGACACGGCCCAGACUCCUACGGGAGGCAGCAGUGGGGAAUAUUGCACAAUGGGCGAAAGCCUGAUGCAGCGACGCCGCGUGAGGGAUGACGGCCUUCGGGUUGUAAACCUCUUUCAGCAGGGAAGAAGCGAAAGUGACGGUACCUGCAGAAGAAGCGCCGGCUAACUACGUGCCAGCAGCCGCGGUAAUACGUAGGGCGCAAGCGUUGUCCGGAAUUAUUGGGCGUAAAGAGCUCGUAGGCGGUCUGUCACGUCGGAUGUGAAAGCCCGGGGCUUAACCCCGGGUCUGCAUUCGAUACGGGCAGACUAGAGUGUGGUAGGGGAGAUCGGAAUUCCUGGUGUAGCGGUGAAAUGCGCAGAUAUCAGGAGGAACACCGGUGGCGAAGGCGGAUCUCUGGGCCAUUACUGACGCUGAGGAGC